Regulatory RNA element from Paenisporosarcina sp. HGH0030, 149 nucleotides. It matches the Rfam family "c-di-AMP riboswitch aptamer (ydaO/yuaA leader)". Rfam says of the family: This family represents a conserved RNA structure found upstream of the ydaO and yuaA genes in Bacillus subtilis and related genes in other bacteria. The ydaO/yuaA element is thought to act as a genetic "off" switch for the ydaO and yuaA genes in its native state. It is believed that the element may be triggered during osmotic shock leading to activation of ydaO, a predicted amino acid transporter gene, and members of the yuaA-yubG operon which code for KtrA and KtrB K+ transporters. The record is from Rfam. Lineage: Bacteria; Bacillati; Bacillota; Bacilli; Caryophanales; Caryophanaceae.
AUUUCUAAAUCGCUUAAUCCAUUUGGAACGGGGAACCCAUUAUUUGUGGCUUCUCUUUGCCGCUUGGGGUGAAUCCUACUAUUGUAGGUAGGGCUACUCUUUAGCCCAAACCCGACAGCUAACUCCGUAAGCGUUAUGAGAGAGAAAUA